This is a non-coding RNA of Kogia breviceps (pygmy sperm whale), 1514 nucleotides long. The record is from RefSeq and is a predicted model, not a curated record. NCBI's taxonomy places the organism in Eukaryota, Metazoa, Chordata, Mammalia, Artiodactyla, Physeteridae.
UAAUCUGAAAUUGGAGAUGAUAAUAAAAUUUACCUUAGAGGCUUGUUGUGAGGAUUAAAGCACUUAGAACACACCUGUCCAGCUCAUAGUCUGUGCUCUGUAAAUGUAGGCAGUGAGGCUGAGGAGAGGCAAUGCAUCGAUGAAGAAGAAUGAGCAGAACUCUGUGACCAAGAGGCUGUCGGGAACAAGCAGGAAGACCUAAGGAGGCUGGCUUUGGUGUCGGAGCUCGUCAGGUGGUGGUACCACUUGCUGAGAUCAGGAGCCGGAAGAAAAGCAGGCUGGGGGAAGGCUGAGAAAAUGUGGCCAAAGCACAACUUCCCAGAAAGUAGGCUGUGGUAGAAUGCAUCUCGCCUGACUCCAGUCAGCUGCAGGUGUCUGGAAGAGGGUUGAAGAUGGUCAGAUGCUAAGGGCAGAGCCCCUCUUCUUCUCUCCACCCCCAAGCCCCAAGUGCCAGGGUAAGAAAGCUGAGAUUCAGAAGGGUUCUGCACAAGAGAGCCAAUUUUUGGAUGCUGCCACACAGAGAGAGACAACAGCCAGUCAGUCUUGAAGAGCAGCAGCCAACCAACAGAGAGAUGGCCACUUCCCCAUGGCCUCCCGGUGUCUGUCCACAGCCCUGCCGCAGACAGGAGCAAGUGGGAAGUGGCAGAGGACAGACCGCCUUCUGCCACCCUCCACUCAGGCCACCAGGGCCAUGGCCACGUCUAGCUUCCCUGGGAGUGGAGGCCAAGAGCUUUGAAGGAGAGCUUGACCUGGACAUUUUUAAGUACCAGCCUGUGUAAUCCUCACAGCAGCUGCGAGAAUAAGAGCUGCACCUGCCAGAGCCCACCCGGUUAGAAAGAGGUUGUGCUGGGAUCUGCACCCGCUGACCAUCUCUGCAGACCACCAUGAGCCAGGGUCCCUGGUGACGGCCUGGGGAAGGGGCAGGUGCGGCGCCAUGGAAGGUCGGAGGAGGGCAGAGGCAAAGAAGGCCAUGGAAACGGACAAGAGGAGCCGCCCUGCCGUUCUGCACCACGUUCUGCACAGCUUUUCUCCCCACGGCCCGAGGAGCCCGAGGAGACGCCACGCAGGGGUCCAGGGGCCUCUGCUUGCUGCCCAGGCCUCAAGCCACAAGAGAAAGCAACAUUCACCUUUAAUUGCAUCACAGACUGAACGUUAACCCACUGAAGACCCGCCACCCUGUUAACUGGCUAGAAUGGAGGUGAUCCUGCGGCUCCACUGAACAGAAACAGAUCCUGAGCUCCUGAGACCUUAAGGUAAGUGUCUGAACACUGUCACCAUUUCCAACGUCUAUCUAUUGCUUUACUGUACAAUCAGAGCGAGAAACAAAUGCAUUCGAUGCUGUGGAGGUAGAAGACACCAUGGUUGCUACCCCAACCCCAAAUGUCUGCAUCAGGACCAGCUGAGCUCUUCUUAGUCAUUAUCUUUUGAAUAAAUGUUACACAUUUCAAUAGAACAAUUUACGUUAAUAAAAUACAGUUGACCCUUGAACAGGUUUCCAGGGUUUGAACUGAACA